Molecule: ribosomal RNA, 253 nt
Filed under: uncultured prokaryote
Description: partial 16S ribosomal RNA
Rfam family: Bacterial small subunit ribosomal RNA
Source: RNAcentral
ACGGAGGGUGCAAGCGUUAUCCGGAUUCACUGGGUUUAAAGGGUGCGUAGGUGGAAUUAUAAGUCAGUGGUGAAAGCCCCGGGCUCAACUCGGGAAUUGCCAUUGAUACUGUUUUUCUUGAGUGCGAUUGAGGUGAGUAGAAUAUGUCAUGUAGUGGUGAAAUACUUAGAUAUGACAUAGAAUACCGAUUGCGAAGGCAGCUCACUAAAUCGUAACUGACGCUGAGGCACGAAAGCGUGGGGAUCAAACAGGA